Molecule: ribosomal RNA, 531 nt
Filed under: uncultured bacterium
Lineage: Bacteria
Description: bacterial SSU rRNA
Rfam family: Bacterial small subunit ribosomal RNA
Source: RNAcentral
AAUAGAUACCCGGGUAGUCCACGCCGUAAACGAUGGAUACUAGCUGUUUGAGCGCAAGUUUGAGUGGCUAAGCGAAAGUGAUAAGUAUCCCACCUGGGGAGUACGGGCGCAAGCCUGAAACUCAAAGGAAUUGACGGGGGCCCGCACAAGCGGUGGAGCAUGUGGUUUAAUUCGAUGAUACGCGAGGAACCUUACCAGGGCUUAAAUGUAGAUUGACGUAUUUGGAAACAGAUAUUUCUUCGGACAAUUUACAAGGUGCUGCAUGGUUGUCGUCAGCUCGUGCCGUGAGGUGUCAGGUUAAGUCCUAUAACGAGCGCAACCCCUGUUGUUAGUUGCCAGCGAGUAAUGUCGGGAACUCUAGCAAGACUGCCAGUGUAAACUGUGAGGAAGGUGGGGAUGACGUCAAAUCAUCACGGCCCUUACGUCCUGGGCCACACACGUGCUACAAUGGCCGGUACAGAGAGCAGCCACUUAGCGAUAAGGAGCGAAUCUAUAAAGCCGGUCACAGUUCGGAUCGGAGUCUGCAACCCG